This 254-nucleotide ribosomal RNA is filed under the name uncultured bacterium. RNAcentral's name for it is "partial 16S ribosomal RNA". It matches the Rfam family "Bacterial small subunit ribosomal RNA", at positions 524 to 776 of the family's 1533-position model. The record is from RNAcentral.
GACGUAGGGGGCCAGCGUUGCUCGGAAUUACUGGGUGUAAAGGGUUCGUAGGCGGUGCGGCAAGUCGGGCGUGAAAUCUCCAGGCUCAACCUGGAGGGGUCAUUCGAUACUGCCGUGACUAGAGUUCGGUAGAGGAGUGUGGAAUUCCUGGUGGAGCGGUGAAAUGCGCAGAGAUCAGGAGGAACACCCGUAGCGAAGGCGGCACUCUGGGCCGAUACUGACACUGAGGAGCGAAAGCGUGGGGAGCGAACAGG